CCUACGGGAGGCAGCAGUGAGGAAUAUUGGUCAAUGGCCGAGAGGCUGAACCAGCCAAGUCGCGUGAGGGAAGACGGCCCUACGGGUUGUAAACCUCUUUUGUCGGGGAGCAAAGCGAACCACGUGUGGUUCAUUGAGAGUACCCGAAGAAAAAGCAUCGGCUAACUCCGUGCCAGCAGCCGCGGUAAUACGGAGGAUGCGAGCGUUCUCCGGAUUUAUUGGGUUUAACGGGUGCGCAGGCGGCGGUGCAAGUUAUCGGUCAAAUUGCGGGGCUCAACCCCGUACUGCCGUUGAAACUGCAUCCCUUGAGUGCGCGAGAAGUAUGCGGAAGGCGUGGUGUAGCGGUGAAAUGCAUAGAUAGCACGCAGAACUCCGAUUGCGAAGGCAGCAUACCGGCGCGCAACUGACGCUCAUGCACGAAAGCGUGGGUAUCGAACAGGAUUAGAUACCCCUGUAGUC
Molecule: ribosomal RNA, 459 nt
Filed under: uncultured bacterium
Lineage: Bacteria
Description: partial 16S ribosomal RNA
Rfam family: Bacterial small subunit ribosomal RNA
Source: RNAcentral